This is a non-coding RNA of Macaca mulatta (Rhesus monkey), 391 nucleotides long. The record is from RefSeq and is a predicted model, not a curated record. Lineage: Eukaryota; Metazoa; Chordata; Mammalia; Primates; Cercopithecidae.
AAGAAAAGUACCAGAAAUGAGAUCACAGAGUGUACUGUGAUCUCAUCACAGGACACUCCUCCAGCUCCAGAAACAACUGUUCCACAGCAGGCCAGACAGAAAAAUGAAGAAAACACCAGGCACUGUGGUUUAACAAGCCAAGCAGGAGUAACUAUUAGCAAAACAAGCUGAAUAAAUGCUACUAGAAAAUUCUAUAGCAAGGCAUGCGGCACAGGCCCUGCAGUGACCUGAGUGACUGCAACAUGCCAAAAGCAGCAGUAAACUGAAGUACAAUCACAGGCUCCCAAAUAACUGAGUUUAUGAUCCAAGCUUUCUUCAUCGCUUCGGACAGUACACGCCUACCCCACCCCAGUAUAUCCGUUAGGUCCUAGUAAACAUUUGUGGCACUGCU